AGAGUAGUAAUUUAAAAAAAAUAUUUAUUUUGCAUAUAAAAUUUGUGAGAGCACUUACUUUG
RNAcentral lists this transfer RNA (62 nucleotides) under Pseudodendrothrips mori. Its description in RNAcentral is "tRNA-Ala". Lineage: Eukaryota; Metazoa; Arthropoda; Insecta; Thysanoptera; Thripidae. The record is from RNAcentral.